RNAcentral lists this ribosomal RNA (622 nucleotides) under uncultured bacterium. Its description in RNAcentral is "bacterial SSU rRNA". It matches the Rfam family "Bacterial small subunit ribosomal RNA", at positions 202 to 827 of the family's 1533-position model. The record is from RNAcentral.
UAAAGAUUUAUCGGUAUAAGAUGAGUAUGCGUUCUAUUAGCUAGAUGGAGAGGUAACGGCUCCCCAUGGCGACGAUAGAUAGGGGUCCUGAGAGGGAGAUCCCCCACACUGGUACUGAGACACGGACCAGACUCCUACGGGAGGCAGCAGUGAGGAAUAUUGGACAAUGGAGGCAACUCUGAUCCAGCCAUGCCGCGUGCAGGAAGACUGCCCUAUGGUUGUAAACUGCUUUUAUACAGGAAGAAUAAGGAGUACGUGUACUCUGAUGACGGUACUGUAAGAAUAAGCACCGGCUAACUCCGUGCCAGCAGCCGCGGUAAUACGGAGGGUGCAAGCGUUAUCCGGAAUCAUUGGGUUUAAAGGGUCCGUAGCGGGUUUAUAAGUCAGUGGUGAAAUGCUGUGGCUCAACCAUAGCACUGCCAUUGAUACUGUAGAUCUUGAAUCGUUGUGAAGUGGUUAGAAUAUGUAGUGUAGCGGUGAAAUGCUUAGAUAUUACAUAGAAUACCGAUUGCGAAGCAGAUCACUAACAACGUAUUGACGCUGAUGGACGAAAGCGUAGGUAGCGAACGGGAUUAGAUACCCCGGUAGUCUACGCCGUAAACGAUGGAUACUAGUUGUUUGG